Long non-coding RNA from Camelina sativa (false flax), 1199 nucleotides. RefSeq lists it as uncharacterized. The record is from RefSeq and is a predicted model, not a curated record. Lineage: Eukaryota; Viridiplantae; Streptophyta; Magnoliopsida; Brassicales; Brassicaceae.
AAAAUAUUGUGCACAAACAAAAAAAAUCUCGGCAAAUAAAAAACAAAUCUGAAAAGGAAAGUGUGACUAAAAAAACUCUUUUGACCUAAAUUUCUUUUACACCUCCGCUUUCUGAAUCAAUUGGGCAACAACAAAGGACUGCAAGACCUGAUGAUUUUCGAGCUCUUCACCACCAGUACAUCCGGUGAUAGUACCUUCUGAUGACGAUUUCACUCUACCCAAGCCCCAAGGUUACAUUGUCGUCUACCUAUCAAAUCCCUAAUCAAGAGUCUCUUCAGAUUCAUUGUGUCGAUGUGAUUAUAUAAUCGAGUUUCAUCUUCGAUUAUUUCAUGGGUAAGAGAUCUCGUUAUCGUCUUCUUUUUCAUUAAGUUUCGUGAGAUAACCCCAAGCAAGUAUAGAUCACUCAAGUAAUUUAAAAUUGAAACAUGAAUUUUCCUUAAAAGAUGUGCUUUGGUUUUUGGCGAGUCUAAGAAGAUUCUGAAGUUCAUGCAAAACUGAAAUUUGUUUCAUUAAUUAUUAUGCUGUUUGUCCACUUGUUGAUUUCGUAGCUGCAUUGCCAUUUUGAAUUAUCAUUAGUAUCUAGUUCGGUUCUGGGAUUAACAUUUACUAAUUUAUUGUUCCAUUUUGUUGGAGCUGUUGAGCUCUCGGUAAUGCAGAAAAUGAUAUGAGGCUUCUGAGACCUCACUCUCUGGGUACUAUGAGCUAAUCAUCUUCAAUGUUUUCGAAGUCGUCAUCCCUACCAAAUAAAAAAAGCAUCAGGAACUUGCAGGAUAAUUUUUUUGGAAACAUCUUAAAGAAGGAUAUGGCAAGAUGCUCUCCAUAUGAUCCUAAAAUUACCAAGGUCAAAAGGACUUGAGCUCGGAAACAUGUGUGUGAAACCAUCGGUGGCCGCCAUGACUUAUUUUAAGGUAAAUUUCUAUUCUGUAUAUUCGUAGUUUGAUGUGUUUGAAAAUUACUUUUUAUGCUAUGCUUUUUAUAGCAGUUGAAGUAGGGUUUGUGGGAAAUGAAGAAUAUUGGAUGCAAUCAAUAUAAGAUUUUCUGUUAUACGAUAUACCAUAGUAAAAUUAGGGAUUGGAUACAACUGUUUCCAUCUCUAGCUGUAAUUAUUGAUAUAAAGUUUUUUUUUCUGCUUUUGUACUCCCCAACUAAUAGUGUAGACUAUCUACUAUUAUGAAAUAUGCCCUUCUACUAUUAUGAAA